This 243-nucleotide unclassified non-coding RNA is filed under the name Hevea brasiliensis (rubber tree). Lineage: Eukaryota; Viridiplantae; Streptophyta; Magnoliopsida; Malpighiales; Euphorbiaceae. The record is from RNAcentral.
CAGAAACCUACAAGGGUUGUCCUCCUUGGCUACGGCAUCGAAUGCAGAACCUGUUUUCUGCAGUCGAGUGGCUGAUUCAGAUCUGGAAGCUACCCUCUCGCAAAAUAUGUCUGGUACAUCUUCGUAUGUUCCUGUGGUUACAAAGGAGGAGGAAAACUCACCCGCUGAGUACCCAAAGAGUGAUUACAGUGCUCCUGUCUCUACAAAGGGCGAGAAAAGUGGAGCAUCUACAGAGCACGAUGG